This is a long non-coding RNA of Haplochromis burtoni (Burton's mouthbrooder), 456 nucleotides long. RefSeq lists it as uncharacterized. The transcript is spliced from 4 exons. The record is from RefSeq and is a predicted model, not a curated record. Lineage: Eukaryota; Metazoa; Chordata; Actinopteri; Cichliformes; Cichlidae.
ACCACUUCCUGCCGCCGGGGAGAAUUUAUUUCAGCAUAAUAUCAGGGACCACUACUGAAAAACGAGUAACAACGACAGCAAGCACUACUACUACUACUGGUUUUAAUGUGCACACAAAAUCUUGACAAGCUGCAUCCCCUACCUGGAUAAGUAAAAGGCCAAGGUCCAUCUACAUAGCCUAUGUACGCUGUGAUGCAGACUGCCAGGAUCCCGUGCACCAGCGUGACGAGUCGACAGUUCCAUUCGUAGCUCCUGGAUCCGUUAACGUUACACAGGACAAAGUAGAAAGACACCCAGCAGGAUAGGCACAGGAGAGCACAAACGACAAGCACAGCCAUCUUCCCCUCUGAAGCAUGCCCUGUGUAUGAUGCUGCAGGCUUUCCUAGGAUAAGGUCAAACAAAGACUUGGACUUACCUGAAAGGACAAAGACGAGGAGGCCAAGGAGCUUCAGCAGA